Molecule: ribosomal RNA, 228 nt
Filed under: uncultured bacterium
Lineage: Bacteria
Description: partial 16S ribosomal RNA
Rfam family: Bacterial small subunit ribosomal RNA
Source: RNAcentral
AGAGUUUGAUCCUGGCUCAGAGCGAACGCUGGCGGCAGGCCUAACACAUGCAAGUCCAACGCACCCUUCGGGGUGAGUGGCGGACGGGUGAGUAACCCCUGGGAACGUACCCUUUGCUUCGGAAUAACUCAGGGAACCUUGACCUAAUACCGGAUCAGCCCCCCCGGGCACAGCUUUAUCCCCCACGGAGCCCCCCCCGCCCGAUCCGCUAGUUGGCGACCCCCCCCG